AAAAUAUAAAUGUACACAGAGAAAGCUCAAUGGUGUGUAAAAAAAAAAGGCAAAGGUGCAAAUGCACCAGGAGCACACAGAGUCCUCUGAAGAACAUUUAUUGUAUUUGACACCAGUUAGUGUUAUGUCAAGGGUAUUUGGUGGUAACCCAGUCUCACAGGUUCCGCACUUAAUGGGCUUGGCAGCAUGUCCAUGUUUGAGAAGAAAGGGGGAACGCGCCUCCAGACAUAUGAUGCUGCGGCGGUCCUGGUGCUGCAUCCAAGAGAAGUCCAAGAGCAGCUGCCCCGGUGUCAGGGCCCACCACGAGCGCAGCUCGUCGGGAUUCCCAUGGUGACUCUGUGCUCACGCAGGCUGCAGGGAACCUCCCCGAGCCUCCGAACAGUGCACCUUUAAUCCCAAAAACAGAGCCACCCCCCCCCACCCCAGUGCUCCUCUGUCCACAGACUCACAUGGAAGCCCAUCUCUAGCUUCUCUAAGUGUCCUUCAACAUGCAGGCCUUCAGGUCACAGCCGGACUACUGCCCAGCCCGUCACGGACGCUUCCGAACACAGGACCAUCACACCCGAGCGUGCCGCACGCGCAUAACCAUCUGCCUUAAUUUGAAUACAUGAGUGUAUGUGCCACACUGUGUGUUUUUAUGUAUCAUUUAUAUGUAACAACCUGACAUAAAAAUGUUUUAUGAAAGCAGUCUUAGCACAGAUUGCUUUUCAGUCCAGGGUGUAACGUGACCUCAGACUGUCUUCCCAUAUUGGGGAGAACAUGGUGUAGCCUUGAACGUCAUGAAGCACCAUAGAGUCGAACCCAGGAUGCCCUGAAUGUGCGGCAACAUGCUGCAUUAUUUGAGGAUGGACACCCCUUUCUGUCGUGGGAGAAGAGUGCUGCUGUCCCUGGGAUUUCAUCGCACGCCGAACACCCACUGACAUCCCGACGAUUGUGUCCUUGACAUUGCAUUUUUUUUAUUGUGAGCUCUGAAGUACGCCCGCUCAGUAAGCUAGCAAAGAUGCUACUGCUCUGGCUUUCGUCGCCUCAUGAUCCCAUUAAGAGACACUGAUAUUUGUAUCGCAG
This 1065-nucleotide long non-coding RNA is filed under the name Scleropages formosus (Asian bonytongue). RNAcentral's name for it is "lncRNA (ENSSFOG00015032845.1)". Lineage: Eukaryota; Metazoa; Chordata; Actinopteri; Osteoglossiformes; Osteoglossidae. The record is from RNAcentral.